RNAcentral lists this ribosomal RNA (439 nucleotides) under uncultured bacterium. RNAcentral describes it as "partial 16S ribosomal RNA". It matches the Rfam family "Bacterial small subunit ribosomal RNA", at positions 339 to 795 of the family's 1533-position model. The record is from RNAcentral.
CUACGGGUUGCUCCAGUGGGGAAUAUUGCACAAUGGAGGAAACUCUGAUGCAGCAACGCCGCGUGGAGGAUGACACUUUUCGGAGCGUAAACUCCUUUUAUAUAGGAAGAAGAUGAUGGUACUAUAUGAAUAAGCGCCGGCUAACUCCGUGCCAGCAGCCGCGGUAAUACGGAGGGCGCAAGCGUUACUCGGAAUCACUGGGCGUAAAGAGCGUGUAGGCGGAUUAAAAAGUCAGAAGUGAAAUCCUAUAGCUUAACUAUAGAACUGCUUCUGAAACUCUUAAUCUAGAAUAUGGGAGAGGUAGAUGGAAUUUCUGGUGUAGGGGUAAAAUCCGUAGAGAUCAGAAGGAAUACCGAUUGCGAAGGCGAUCUACUAGAACAUUAUUGACGCUGAGACGCGAAAGCGUGGGGAGCAAACAGGAUUAGAUACCCCUGUAGUC